UUUAAUCUUAUCCGCUCCCUCUUGUCUACUCCUCUUGUUUAAUAUGCUUGAUUAUCUAAUUGUUAUGCAAACUUUCUUGGCCUACCCUUAACCCGAUCCCUCGGCGAAAAGAGCCUAUUACUAAUUACCGGCUUGCUAUCCCGAGCCUCCCCUAGCAAUUAGCAAUGCAUUACCGAACAGAAGCUAAAACAAUUGAUCGUCCUACCUCCCUAUCCUUAGGUUAUAUUUCAUUAAUCAAGGAAUUUCUCACCAGUUCAUGACAGGGCUAUUUAUAGCUGAGGAGCGUCACAGAAAACAGGCUCAGGCCCAGCGGACAACCGCCCGACGUCACACUUAUGUCGCUCGGCAGUUUGCCCAUUAUCGCGCCACCGCCCGGCUGCAGGGGUUCACCGCCCGGCGAUUUGCCCCUAAUCACAAAUUCGCCCAGCGUCCACGCCAGGUGCCUCCUCC
This 450-nucleotide long non-coding RNA is filed under the name Vigna radiata. RNAcentral's name for it is "long non-coding RNA (VRAD_LNC011648)". The record is from RNAcentral. Lineage: Eukaryota; Viridiplantae; Streptophyta; Magnoliopsida; Fabales; Fabaceae.